RNAcentral lists this ribosomal RNA (440 nucleotides) under uncultured bacterium. RNAcentral's name for it is "bacterial SSU rRNA". It matches the Rfam family "Bacterial small subunit ribosomal RNA", at positions 338 to 794 of the family's 1533-position model. The record is from RNAcentral.
CCUACGGGAGGCAGCAGUGAGGAAUAUUGGACAAUGAGCGAAAGCUUGAUCCAGCAAUACUACGUGAAUGAUGAAGAUUAAAUAAUUGUAAAGUUCUUUUAUUAGGGAAGAUAAUGACGGUACCUAAUGAAUAAGUCCCGACUAACUUCGUGCCAGCAGUCGCGGUAAAACGGGGGGGACAAGUGUUACUCAGCAUAAUUGGGCGUAAAGGGUGCGUAGGUUGUUUUUUAAGUUAGAAGUAAAAUCCAAGGGCUUAACCUUUGAAAUGCUUCUAAAACUAUAAAACUUGAGUAUAGCAGAGGAUAGUGGUAUUCUUAAUGUAGAGGUGAAAUUCGUAGAUAUUAAGAGGACCUCCAAUAGGCGAAAGCAACUAUCUGGGCUAUUACUGACGCUGAGGCACAAAAGCAUGGGGAGCAAACAGGAUUAGAUACCCCAGUAGU